CCACAUUACUCUUGAGGUGAAAUGCUUACACUUUCAUUUAUAGACCAAAUAAUGUUUAAUUUAUAAUUUGUAAUUAUAAUAUUAAAUCUUAAUCUAACCUAUGGCAUUCAUCAUUUACUGCAAAGACUACUUGGGUAUCUAAUCCUGUUUGUGCUCUGUGCCUUCGUCCUUUAACGUCAGUUUCUACAUAGAGGGCUGCCUUCGCCUUUACCGAGUCCCUUUGGUAUCAUAGAAUUUCAUCUCUCCUCCUCAAGUACUGCCCUCUUACAUAAAACUCUAGUCAAGUACUAACAUUAUAGAAGCUAUAUUGACCGUCUAGGUACCCUUUAAACCUAAUUAAGAUGAAUAACACUAGUCUCUUACGUAUUACCGCGACUGCUGGCACGCAAUUAGUCAAGACACGAUAUAUAUMCUGUCAUUAUCAAUAUAUAAACAAAGCUUUAUUCAAUUUUAAUACAAUCCUAUAGAUCAUAUUCAAAGAUAUGAUCAAAAUAGGACUUGCCACUUCUCCAAGUUGCCAGUUCAGCCGUUAG
RNAcentral lists this ribosomal RNA (533 nucleotides) under Trichoderma tomentosum. RNAcentral's name for it is "partial small subunit ribosomal RNA". Lineage: Eukaryota; Fungi; Ascomycota; Sordariomycetes; Hypocreales; Hypocreaceae. The record is from RNAcentral.